GAUCAUUACCGAGACAUUCGGUCUGAAGACUGAUCUCCACACUAUGUUUUAAGCGUCGAGCGGGCGAAAGCUUGCGAGAUGCGACCACUUAUUUUCUCUUGAAAAUUCAAAAACUAAAAAGUUAAAACUUUCAACAACGGAUCUCUUGGUUCUGGCAUCGAUGAAGAACGCAGCGAAAUGCGAAAAGUAAUGUGAAUUGCAGAAUUCAGUGAAUCAUCGAAUCUUUGAACGCACAUUGCACCUCAUGGUAUUCCGUGAGGUAUACAUGUUCGAGCGUCGUUAAAGGACAAUAAAGCUCUGCUUUGCGAUGACGCCUCCGACACUUCGUGGUGUUGGAGCGUUGAAAACUGUUGGCGCACGGAUCGCGCUCGGCACCAAUCACAAUUGGAAGCUGGAAGCGAGCCCGGGCAGCUCUACACCAAACUCUAUUUUAACGUUCGACCUCCAAUCAUGUAGGAUUACCCGCUGAACCUAAUCAUAU
RNAcentral lists this unclassified non-coding RNA (481 nucleotides) under Dactylaria humicola. RNAcentral's name for it is "sequence contains 18S rRNA gene, ITS1, 5.8S rRNA gene, ITS2, 28S rRNA gene". The stretch from base 126 to 279 matches the Rfam family "5.8S ribosomal RNA". The record is from RNAcentral. Lineage: Eukaryota; Fungi; Ascomycota; Leotiomycetes; Helotiales.